RNAcentral lists this ribosomal RNA (468 nucleotides) under uncultured bacterium. Its description in RNAcentral is "partial 16S ribosomal RNA". It matches the Rfam family "Bacterial small subunit ribosomal RNA", at positions 28 to 507 of the family's 1533-position model. The record is from RNAcentral.
GACGAACGCUGGCGGCGUGCUUAACACAUGCGAGUCGAACGGAAAGGCCCUGCUUUUGUGGGGUGCUCGAGUGGCGAACGGGUGAGUAACACGUGAGUAACCUGCCCUUGACUUUGGGAUAACUUCAGGAAACUGGGGCUAAUACCGGAUAGGAGCUCCUGCUGCAUGGUGGGGGUUGGAAAGUUUCGGCGGUUGGGGAUGGACUCGCGGCUUAUCAGCUUGUUGGUGGGGUAGUGGCUUACCAAGGCUUUGACGGGUAGCCGGCCUGAGAGGGUGACCGGCCACAUUGGGACUGAGAUACGGCCGAGACUCCUACGGGAGGCAGCAGUGGGGAAUAUUGAACAAUGGGCGGAAGCCUGAUGCAGAAACGCCGCGUGCGGGAUGACGGCCUUCGGGUUGUAAACCGCUUUCGCCUGUGACGAAGCGUGAGUGACGGUAAUGGGUAAAGAAGCAACGGCUAACUACGUG